CUGGCUCAGGAUAAACGCUGGCGGCGUGCUUAACACAUGCAAGUCGAACGGAGUGGUCUCCCGAGGAAUGAGGGUGCUUGCACCUGAAUGACUCAUUUGAAUCACUUAGUGGCGGACGGGUGAGUAACGCGUGGGAAACCUGCCCUAUACUGGGGGAUAGCAGUUGGAAACGACUGAUAAUACCGCAUAAGCGCACAGCUUCGCAUGAAGCAGUGUGAAAAACUCCGGUGGUAUAGGAUGGUCCCGCGUCUGAUUAGCUAGUUGGUGAGGUAACGGCCCACCAAGGCAACGAUCAGUAGCCGGCCUGAGAGGGUGUACGGCCACAUUGGGACUGAGACACGGCCCAAACUCCUACGGGAGGCAGCAGUGGGGAAUAUUGGACAAUGGGGGAAACCCUGAUCCAAGCGACGCCGCGUGAACGAAGAAGUAUUUCGGUAUGUAAAGUUCUAUCAGCAGGGAAGAUAAUGACGGUACCUGACUAAGAAGCACCGGCUAAAUACGUGCCAGCAGCUGC
RNAcentral lists this ribosomal RNA (514 nucleotides) under uncultured bacterium. RNAcentral's name for it is "bacterial SSU rRNA". It matches the Rfam family "Bacterial small subunit ribosomal RNA", at positions 19 to 518 of the family's 1533-position model. The record is from RNAcentral.